UUUUAUUUGAGAGUUUGAUCCUGGCUCAGGAUGAACGCUGGCGGCGUGCCUAACACAUGCAAGUUGAGCGAUUUACUUCGGUAAAGAGCGGCGGACGGGUGAGUAACGCGUGGGUAACCUACCCUGUACACACGGAUAACAUACCGAAAGGUAUGCUAAUACGGGAUAAUAUAUUUGAGAGGCAUCUCUUAAAUAUCAAAGGUGAGCCAGUACAGGAUGGACCCGCGUCUGAUUAGCUAGUUGGUAAGGUAACGGCUUACCAAGGCGACGAUCAGUAGCCGACCUGAGAGGGUGAUCGGCCACAUUGGAACUGAGACACGGUCCAAACUCCUACGGGAGGCAGCAGUGGGGAAUAUUGCAC
Molecule: ribosomal RNA, 361 nt
Filed under: Clostridioides difficile
Lineage: Bacteria; Bacillati; Bacillota; Clostridia; Peptostreptococcales; Peptostreptococcaceae
Description: bacterial SSU rRNA
Rfam family: Bacterial small subunit ribosomal RNA
Source: RNAcentral